Molecule: long non-coding RNA, 7294 nt
Organism: Taeniopygia guttata (zebra finch)
Lineage: Eukaryota; Metazoa; Chordata; Aves; Passeriformes; Estrildidae
Source: Ensembl
UUUUUUCUUUUUUUUUUUUUUAAAGUGCAUUUAAAGCAAAAUAACUGGCAUUCACAUGCCCCAUGGAAAACAUGAUUGCAGUGGAAAGCAUGACCAUGCUAAACUCCUUGGACUUGACAACGCCAAAAGCAAAUGGGGCAGUGACAGGCCUUGGUGUAGGCAGCUAUUCUUGGGCAGCACCAUUGGCAAGGAGGGAAGGCAGGAGGUGGUGGAAGGGAAAUUGCUUUAGAGGUUGUUUCCAAUUCUGACACAGCUGUGUCAUUCCCAAUACAGCUUCCUUUAUGAUGAUUAACGACCUCUGUCUUAUGGCUGUACCCAUCUGACUCUCCCUAGUUCUGUUUUUUAUCGUCUGUGUGUGUCCCAAGUGCCAGCAUCUAUUAGGAAUAAGGCACUAUUAAAAUUAUAGUUUUACAAAAGAUGCAAAAUAAUCCAACUCUACCAAUCCCAACUGCCCACACUGCUCUCCUCGCCCCCAUCCCUUUUCUGGGGGAAAUAUUGCAUGUGAUAAGACUCUAUUCAUAUGUUCUCCAAAUGUGUCAAAUGUAGGCUUUGGACAAAUGUUUUAAGUCCAUCAGCACCAAAGAUGGGUAGGAAUGUACCCUUUCUCUUUUAUGUAUGUGCACACAUGCAGACUUGUUAAUUGGGAGAGGGGGAAUAACGACACCAUUCCCAUGCUGCUCCUCCCAGGCUUUAGAGCCCAGCCUAAAAUAUAAACUUUCAAUACAUCAUCCAGAACAUCUACAUUUACUGGAUCAUUUAUGGAAGCAGUUGAGGGGUUUUUCAUUCCACCACCCAGAUGCUACAGGUUUUAGAGGUGGAUUUCUGGAAGGGCAAGCUCCAGGAAAGCCUGCAUGGACCAUCCUGCUCUGCAGGGAAAUGGCACAGGUGGGUGCCCACCCUUGGUCUUGCCUGCCAGACAGACAGACACUUCUCAGGGGCUGCUUUGCGCUGAUUCUUACAAUCAGAAAAGCUUCUCCAGCAAAUUUGGCUCCUCUGUGGCGUCAGGGACACUGACUGUGCAGUGGCAUUUGGAUCUCUGUCUUUACUCAUGAGCAGCUGUGGACUGCGAGCCACUUUUCCAUUGUGCCAACAUGCUCUUUCCUCUCCAUGGUUCUGACCUGUGAACAAGCAAUGUUCCAGUAACUGGGUAGUUCAUUUGCCCUAAAAACACUGCAGUCAGCCCAUCAUAAGGUGCAUUAGCUAUGGCAGCUAAUAUAUCCUUCUCUUGCUAAAAUGUCCAUGAACUACCUUCCCUUUGCCAGGAUCCCACUGGCUCUUCUCACCUUUCACCAAAGGCUAGGCUGCCUCAUUAAGCAGAGUAUAGCUGAAAAUGAGAAAAGCAAGCAGACAGGAGGGGUAAUAGCAAAGAAAAUGUGAGACCAGACGGUCCAGCAUUUAAGUUCGAGACUAGUCACUUUAGCCACCAUCAUCAAAAUGGACUGAGAUUAAAGGAGUCUAAACUGCUGCGGACUGGGUUUUUAGAAGUGACACAAACCGUGGGAGGGAAAUGAGUUGCCUUUUUUUUCUUUUAGUGGUUUAAGUCAUCUUGAUAAGGCCACAAACUGCAUUUGUCUUUUCAAUGUGAGUGCUUGAAAAUAACAUGAAUUAAAAUUGAGUGCUUCACAAAGCUAGAAUUGAAAUUGGAGAGAAGAGCCACCACAUGCUCGCUACAGCUGCACUAUAGGAGAGAGGAGCAUCUGAGGAGGUGGUGGUGGAGGGUGUCUCCUUGGGAAGACGUGCUACAUGUGGAAAGGGAAAGGAGCUCACAGUAUCUCCCAGCUCCCCUUCCUCUCACCACCACCUUACUGUUUUGUUGGACACCUAUAGACAAGUAGCACUUCUAAAGAGCCUCCUCCUGUUGUCUCUCACAUAUGUAAGCUGGGGAAGGGGAGGAGGCUGGUAUAAUUACAAAAGGGGAAAAAGAAGGCACAUGAUUUUACUCAGUCCUGACUGAACCCACAUUUUGAAAGCAAGGGCAGUUUAGGUGGAGGACAAAAAAGUGCUCAGUGGAGCGGGUGCUCACUGAGAAGAAAUCUCAGGGCAAAGGAAGUGGGAGAAUAAAAAGGAAAGGCAGGAGAAAUGAAGGCCACAUUCAGCUUUCUGUCUGCUUGACAGUCUCAAGAUUUGGCUGCAUUAUUGUCCAGGAAGGAAAAGAGUCUGGUUGGUCUCAAAUGUAGCCCAGUUACAUAUCUCCAGUUUCUGUUAUGGCUGUUGGUGUCCUCCUCUUUCCCUUUUCUCCAGUCCCAUGAACACCUGGAGCACUGCUUUAGUCUCUCAAGCCUGUUUUUCAAACAUUAAGAACAUGGCACACCUCUUUGGUCACCCUCAGCCUCUACUCCUCCUCAAAUCCAGACCAGUGAUCAAACAGAGCAGUGCUCCCUGCUGGUCACUCCCACUGCUGAGGUGCCCAAGAAGGCUUGAUGGAGAAUGCAAAGCAACCUCAUAGUUUCAGUGGGGUUGGUGAGUUGUUCACAAAAGCCACUGUCAGGAUGAGGGCAAAUCAAGGGAGUUGUUGACUGAGAAACAGAUGUCAUUUACAAAGGUCAUUAUGAGCAUCAUGUCUCAGUCACCUUCCCCUUGCACACUGCCAUGUCCAGGUACCGUAAGUUUCCUGUCUCCUCCAGUGACUGCAAGCCUUUCUCAUUCCUGUGGUUGAUGGGAGGAGUAGAUCUGAUGGUCCAGCUUUAGAAUUCCAAAACACAGUUUCCUAAAUUUUCCCCAACUCUCUAAGUCAAAAAUGCAUUCAGUUUCUCUCUCUCCCUCCUGCCACCCCCACCAAAUUUGCUCAGGAGAUCAUAAGGCAGAGUAAUGAGAAGUAGGAUCACCAACAGCUCUAUGAAGACACAGGGUGGUAAAAUGCUUCCCUACAAACUCACAGUCCAGUGUUUGUGACAUUUCAUAAAUAACUUUUUUUUUUUAAAAAAGAAUAACACAAGAACAAUCCCUUUACUUACUCAUCUGAAACAAAAUAAACAGCAGUGGCUACAAACUUCUUCUUGUAACAAUUACAAAAAAACUCCCAACAAUACAAUUCCCCAACUUUUAACACGCGCCUUGAAUGUUUUUUUUUCAUGUUAAACCUCAAAACUGCAGCAUAUCCUUAAGGGCAAACUUUUCAAUUAGUUUUUUCUUUCUUUUCUUUUUUUUUUUUUUUUAAAUAAUGUGUUCACCAAAAAGAAAAAAAAUCCACAAAACAGUCUUGUACCAAGAAAAUGCAUUCAAAAAUAGAAAAUACUACACAACAAAAAUAUGUACCCUUCCUUUCCAAAAGAGUCUUCACAAAAAUGUAGAAAAAUGCCAACUAUUUUUUUCCUUUCCUGAAUGCUUAACUUUCAACCUAGGGCACAAUUAUUUAUUGACUUAUAAUGUCUGUUUUUGCAUAAAAUAUGGAAGAUAAAAACCAACUGUCAGGACUGUGACGUUACAAACAACACCUCAUUAUUCUCCCCACCCCACAUUCCCUCCUCAGAAAACAAAACACAGAAAGCCAAUGUUUCAACAACUGAUUGAAAGUCAUCAGGUUAGGGAAACCCAUUAGCUGAUAUGGGGAUUUGAAGAUGCUGGCAUAACAGGAAAAUCAUCUGUCUUUUAAAAUGUAUGCUUUUUGAAUUCAUCUCAACAUGAGUCUCUGCCCCACUGUACUCAAAUGACCAGGCACUAUGGAGACAGGACACUGCUGGGCAUAGAAAGAUCUGGGAAGAAUUUGGUGUCAGGAGCCCAGGGACCGCACGUGGGUGUGCGCAUGCACGUGGCAUUUCACUUGCAAAGAACUCUUUCCAUUUUGAAAGACAGAGAGGAUGUUUCCAUAUGCCUUAAAAGUGCAAGGGCCAUUUCUUAGUAGUUAAAUAUGCAGAAGUUUUACUAUGCUUAAUAGUCAAGUCCAUUUUUCUGGCAAAGGCAAGCCAGAGAUAGAUCGCAUCAGUUCACGGCUGGGAGUGGGUGACAGCUGAAAACUGGUAGGCAAAAAGUGUCACACCAAGGUGCAUACAGAUUUAUUCAGUGGGAAAGUGUUUUGCCUACCUUGAAAAAUGUUCAAGGGAUAUUAUGCAAUUAACACAGCCAAAAUACCAACUGUUUUGACAGCAAUAAACUCUAGCAGUGGGGAAUUGGAUGCUAUGGGGAAGGCAGCUGUAUCUUGCACGCAUGUGGCUAAAUCCAUCCUCUGUGUACCUCUUUUGACUUCAUUGCAAAAACACCUGCUUGCACCAGGGAUGAAUUUGCCCCAUGUGGUUCUGGAUUUUAUGUCUGUUGGCCAUGUAGGAGCCCAACCCUGCAGAACACUGUGCUAGAAUAUUCCAGAUGGCAGAGUUAGGAUCAAAAAGGCUUCUCUCUUCUUCUGUUUGAGUUUGUUUUUUUUUUUUUCUAGCAAAGUUUUAAAGGAUGCUUCCAGCACAAGAAGGAAGAGGAGAGCUUUUUCUUAGCCUUUUCCACUGCAUGGCUGUGUGUUUUCCUUUUUUCAAAUGGCAAAAUGUGUUUGUGUUUACUUCCAGUGCAUUUUUUUCUCAUAAAUUCAAAACAAAAAGGAAACAUUACUUUUCCCAUCCUUCAAAAGGAAACAAAACCAAAACAGACUGAUAAAGUACAAUACAAUAAAAAUCAGGCAUUAUAAAAGACAACAUGAUGUGCAACAGCAAUACCAAAGAAACAAAAAUUUAAAAACUUAUUUUUAUAUAUAUAUUAGGAUACAGGUAUGAAUAAGCCAAGAAAGCUAUCUAACCCCACUACUAGAUGAUUGGUAAGCAUUGGUUAAGAAAUACGUAAGGCUAUUCUGAGAUUUCUAACUUAACACAGUUAACCACUGCUUCUCUCACACCUUCACUUCCUAAAUUUUUCACCUUUCACUCACUGGUCUUUUAUGUCUUGAAACUGAUUUCUUUUCCUUUUCUUAUUUUUUGGUCUACAGUAGAAUUACAUGUUAAUAACAAUAGCAAAACAAAACUCAAACUUGUUGUGAGAGUAAGUUGGUGCCACAUCCAUUAUGCAGAAGAAAGAAGACAGACAACAGAACAACCGCAUUCAGUUUUUCACACACAAAGCAUAUUUGAGGGCAACAACAUAGCUGACCAAAACAAGUUUGGAGGGGCAAGCAGCAGAAGAUGUAGGUUUACAACUAGACCACCAACCAGAGCCUGGUCUUUCACCUUUACCAAUGUCUAUGAGGACAACAGGAGCACAUUUGCCAUGUGGCUUUGCCAUUCCUGUCACCUGGCACAACAGCUAAUCUGGCAUCUACUUCACCACUAAAUGCACACCUGGUUUGAUAGAAAACCAAAAGGAAAAGAAAAGGUAAAAGGCUCCUAGGUGAGGCCAAGUGUAUCUCUUGGUCACCUUGGCUGAUUGUGACAAAUCCUCAGCCAGUGGGAUAUCAGUGAGAGAGGGCACCUGGCUGGCAGGUCAUUGGGGAGCAGUUUUGAACUCAGGCUGUCUAAGGUGAUGGGACAGUUGGUUAGCCUCCUCCAUUAGGGGAAAAGUGAUGAACUCCGACAGGUUACCCUGGGAUCGUUCCAUUAGUAUAAAUUCUCUUAGUUCAGCAGGGAUGAGAAAGCAUACAUUCUCUGCUGCUUCUGAAUUGCCUUUGUAAAUGUCAGCAUCACCAGCCACUAGAAAUGCAUUCCCUACCAACUUGGCUACAGCAAUGUGAUUGAAGCUCCACAGUGAAUCCUGGCAUUUUCUUUUUAUAGUGGAACUUCUGAAAUGUAACAUUUUCCUCAAGGGUAAGCAGUGAAAUUACUAUAAUGCUGAAAAUAUCACUAGCAUUUUCUUGAGCCAUAACUAUGACACAGUCCCAGCAAAAACUCAAGCUGAUCCUCAGUAGUGCUUGUCAAUGUUGAGGAAAGGAACAUACAGAAACAAAAUGAUCAAACAGUUCGGGGAAUUCUGUUUUGGAUCUAGCCCACUGGCCAAAGGGAUUUUUGUUUGUGAGAAAAGGUGCAACAAUGAAGCAGGAUGACAAAUGGAGAAUUAUGGAAGUUAGUGUUUCUCCAUCUGGAGAAAAAUAGGGCAUUAAGUUAUGCGGCAUCUCUAGUCAGCAACAUAUGUUUUGGCUUCUUAAAAUAAACCUCAAGUAAUCCUUGGUUUCUCAGUCAAGCACUGUCUACAUGGGGCUAUAGUACCAUGCUGAAAAAAACGAAAAGAGUUUGUGCUAUAUUUAAAUGUAGUUCCAGUUAAACUAGUUUCAAACUGACCAUGUAAAAAGGAACAACUUACUUAAAAGCCAUUAAAAUUAUACAAUCACACUUAUGCCCAGGAACUGGUGUGAGUGAGCGCUGUAACCAAGUGGGAACAUAAGCUAGAAUUUGGCUUUUAAAAAAUGGUUUGUUCUUGUUUACACGGAUUAGACACUUCUGUUGAAACUGAGUCUGCUGGAAUCAGGUUUAAACAGGUUGAAUUCAAACCCAGAUUUGGAGCAUGGCUCAAAGCCCACUUCUUCAGGUUGCAGUACUUUUAAAAAACUAGUGCAAAUGGCAUCUUAUCACAGCAUUGCAAACAUGCAGCGUUCCUCUCCUUGUCCAAAUAUGGUUGCCAUCAGGUCACACCACAAGGGAGGAAUAUGCAGCAAUCAGUCAGCCAGAACAGCUCAACCUACAGAAGUUCUUUAUUUUACCACAGCAGGAAAGGCACUCUGGACACAGCAGACUCAGUAAACCCUCAGCUUCACUUUUUUUUUUUUUUGGAGCAGUCCACUACUCGUCUUUAACAAUGCUAAUCCACUCUGACAGUAGCAAUAUAUGCAGCUGCCUUAAACAAGGAAACAAAAACUCACCUCAGCAAAAGCAAGGAGUAUUGGCUCAUUAUAUGAAUUAACUUCAGCAGACAGAUUUCAUUUUCUUCCAUAUAACAGCUCUGUAACUGUCACUACUCUUAUGGACAAAUGCCACUUUACAAAACAAAGGUGUUCUGCCUCUGUAUAUGCUGGCUCUCAAAUAAACUGUGUUUUUGUUGGGCAUCCACUGACUUAUUACUGGAAGUUGACCUUCCAGUGUCCUUUUCAUCUUAGAGGGUUCCUGCAGAUGGCAAAGAAACAGGCUGCAUGUUCCACUGUCCCGCUUGCUUUCAAGGGAAGAGUCAUUCAGUAGUUAAUCUAACAGUACAUCAGGGCAUAUCUCCAGUUCUUCUCUUCCAGUCCAUUCGAGCCAGGACGGCUGGAUUCUAAGAAUGGAAAUCUCAAAGCUCACCAGAACAACAUAUCCUUAACUCCAAAGUCUCUCCUGGUUCCAGACUUGUUCCUUCCCACCCAACACCUGCCUCUUGCAUACCACUCUUUAGUUCUUGACACUUUUGUCAAACGAGGCAG